This 253-nucleotide ribosomal RNA is filed under the name uncultured prokaryote. RNAcentral's name for it is "partial 16S ribosomal RNA". It matches the Rfam family "Bacterial small subunit ribosomal RNA", at positions 524 to 776 of the family's 1533-position model. The record is from RNAcentral.
UACGUAGGGUGCGAGCGUUAAUCGGAAUUACUGGGCGUAAAGUGUGCGCAGGCGGCCGAGCAAGUCGAGUGUGAAAGCCCCGAGCUUAACUUGGGAACUGCGCUCGAAACUACUUGGCUAGAGUGUGGCAGAGGGAGGUGGAAUUCCACGUGUAGCGGUGAAAUUCGUAGAUAUUCGGAAGAACACCAGUGGCGAAGGCGGCUCACUGGACCGGUAUUGACGCUGAGGUGCGAAAGCGUGGGGAGCAAACAGG